This 371-nucleotide ribosomal RNA is filed under the name Thraustochytriidae sp. Its description in RNAcentral is "Thraustochytriaceae sp. partial small subunit ribosomal RNA". It matches the Rfam family "Eukaryotic small subunit ribosomal RNA", at positions 582 to 975 of the family's 1831-position model. Lineage: Eukaryota; Bigyra; Thraustochytrida; Thraustochytriidae. The record is from RNAcentral.
AUUCCAGCUCCAAUAGCGUAUACUAAUGUUGUUGCAGUUAAAAAGCUCGUAGUUGAACCUCUGGUAGGAGUAACCCGGCCUUUGGGCUCAUGCCCUCUGUUUGCUGUGUGUUAUCUCUGGCCAUCUUCGCUGUUCUUUGGACAGCGUCUUUCACUGUAAAAAAAUUAGGGUGUUUCAAGCAAAAGUUUCUUUGGAAUAUAUUAGUAUGGGAUGAUAAGAUAAGCUCUCGAUGCUAUUUUGUUGGUUUGCACAUCAAGAGAAUGAUUAACAGGGACAGUUGGGGGUAUUCGUAUUUACAUGUCAGAGGUGAAAUUCUUGGAUUUUGGAAAGACGAACUACUGCGAAAGCAUUUACCAAGGAUGUUUUCAUUG